Molecule: ribosomal RNA, 582 nt
Filed under: Triticum aestivum (bread wheat)
Lineage: Eukaryota; Viridiplantae; Streptophyta; Magnoliopsida; Poales; Poaceae
Description: partial small subunit ribosomal RNA
Source: RNAcentral
AUGGUCGAAGGCUUGGAGUCGGACAUCUCCAAUCUUAAGUUCCUUCUUCUCUGCUUCCAACAAAUGUCUGGCCUUAAGAUAAACUUCGGCAAGAGCGAUGUGAUGGUGAUGGGCUACUCUCCAGCCGAGUUCCUUGCCAUUGCCAACCGGCUUAACUGCCGCCUCGGCUCCUUUCCCACGACCUACUUGGAAACGCCCAUUAGCGACUCUCGGCUCACCGUCGCGGACUUGCGCCCGACCGUGACUAAGCUUCAAAUGCGUAUCGAGCCUUGGCAGGGUAGAUGGUUGUCUAAGGUGGCUCGGACCAUUCUCAUUAAUUCAUCCCUCUCCAGCCUCCUUUUGUUCCUCAUGAGCUUCUAUAGCCUUCACGAGACUCUGCACCAUGAGAUCGCCAAAGUUCAGUCUCGUUUUUAUUGGGCAGGCGACAACAAUAAGCAGAAAUACCACAUGGUCAGCUGGCCUGACAUCUGCAAGCCCAGGGAACAAGGAGGCCUCGGUAUCAUGUGCUCCAAGCGCAUGAACAUCGCCCUCCUAUCCCGCUGGCUCUGGCGCAUCUCGCAAGGCUAUGGUGGCCUCUGGCUC